UUGAAAAAAUUGUUUGUCAAUACAAUACAAUUCAUCUUCAGCGAUUGGAAAACCAAGAGAACACGGUAGCGUUUUGGGCAGAAGUGAAAACGUUUAUGGAUUCUGCUGGCAACAGACAGUUUCAAGAUUUGGCAGUAUUUGCCUUAAAUUUGUUGUCGCUGCCAUGGUCGAAUGCGGAAGUGGAGCGCGUGUUCAGCCAAGUUAACUUGGUGAAAACAAAGUUAAGGAACAGGCUUCACAUCGAAGCGCUAAAUUCGAUUUUGGCAGUUAGAUUUGGAUUACGCCUGAAAAAUUUUUGCGCCAAAUCGGCACAAACAUGAAUGUUUUAGAAUCUGAAAAUGAAACACUCGACGAAGUGUUAAUAAAUUUGCAUGAAAAUGUAUAAAUUUA
Drosophila willistoni is the source of this 390-nucleotide long non-coding RNA. RefSeq lists it as uncharacterized. NCBI's taxonomy places the organism in Eukaryota, Metazoa, Arthropoda, Insecta, Diptera, Drosophilidae. The record is from RefSeq and is a predicted model, not a curated record. The transcript has 2 exons.